Drosophila melanogaster (fruit fly) is the source of this 99-nucleotide non-coding RNA. Its record names the gene mir-33. Lineage: Eukaryota; Metazoa; Arthropoda; Insecta; Diptera; Drosophilidae. The record is from Ensembl.
CUCUUCCUCUGGAGAUGACACGAAGGUGCAUUGUAGUCGCAUUGUCUGUCCCAAUUGCUUCAGGCAAUACAACUUCAGUGCAAGCUCUGUGCAUUUCAC